GUGCCAGCAGCCGCGGUAAUACGAAGGUGGCGAGCGUUGUUCGGAUUUACUGGGCAUAAAGGGCGCGUAGGCGGUUCCGUAAGCAGCGUGUGAAAUCCCACGGCUCAACCGUGGAACAGCGCGCUGGACUGCGGUUCUUGAGGACCGGAGGGGGGUGUGGAACUCUCGGUGUAGCGGUGAAAUGCGUAGAUAUCGAGAGGAACACCGGUGGCGAAAGCGGCACCCUGGCCGGUUUCUGACGCUGAGGCGCGAAAGCGUGGGUAGCAAACAGGAUUAGAUACCCCCGUAGUCC
RNAcentral lists this ribosomal RNA (292 nucleotides) under uncultured bacterium. Its description in RNAcentral is "partial 16S ribosomal RNA". It matches the Rfam family "Bacterial small subunit ribosomal RNA", at positions 505 to 796 of the family's 1533-position model. The record is from RNAcentral.